GACGAACGCUGGCGGCGUGCUUAACACAUGCAAGUCGAACGGAAAGGCCCUGCUUUUGUGCGGUGCUCGAGUGGCGAACGGGUGCGUAACACGUGAGUAACCUGCCCUUGACUUUGGGAUAACUUCAGGAAACUGGGGCUACUACCGGAUAGGAGCUCCUGCUGCAUGGUGGGGGUUGGAACGUUUCGGCGGUUGCGGAUGGACUCGCGGCUUAUCAGCUUGUUGGUGGGGUAGUGGCUUACCAAGGCUUUGACGGGUAGCCGGCCUGGGAGGGUGAACGGCCACAUUGGGACUGAGAUACGGCCCAGUGUCCUACGGGAGGCAGCGGUGGGGAGUCUGGCACAAUGGGCGGAAGCCUGAGGCAGCAACGCCGCGUGCGGGAUGACGGCCUUCGGGUUGUAAACCGCUUUCGCCUGUGACGAAGCGUGAGUGACGGUAAUGGGUAAAGAAGCACCGGCUAACUACGUG
Molecule: ribosomal RNA, 468 nt
Filed under: uncultured bacterium
Lineage: Bacteria
Description: partial 16S ribosomal RNA
Rfam family: Bacterial small subunit ribosomal RNA
Source: RNAcentral